This 253-nucleotide ribosomal RNA is filed under the name uncultured bacterium. RNAcentral describes it as "partial 16S ribosomal RNA". It matches the Rfam family "Bacterial small subunit ribosomal RNA", at positions 524 to 776 of the family's 1533-position model. The record is from RNAcentral.
UACAGAGGUCCCGAGCGUUGUUCGGAUUUAUUGGGCGUAAAGGGUGCGUAGGCGGCGGAGUAAGUUGGGUGUGAAAUCCCGAGGCUCAACCUCGGAAUGGCAUUCAAUACUGCUUCGCUCGAGUACUGGAGAGGAGGCUGGAAUUUACGGUGUAGCAGUGAAAUGCGUAGAUAUCAGAUAGAACACCAAUGGCGAAGGCAGUUACCUGGCUCAAUACUGACGCUAAAGCACGAAAGUGUGGGGAGCAAACAGG